This 260-nucleotide ribosomal RNA is filed under the name uncultured bacterium. RNAcentral's name for it is "partial 16S ribosomal RNA". It matches the Rfam family "Bacterial small subunit ribosomal RNA", at positions 333 to 607 of the family's 1533-position model. The record is from RNAcentral.
UGAAGCCUACGGGGGGCAGCAGUGGGGAAUAUUGGGCAAUGGGCGCAAGCCUGACCCAGCAACGCCGCGUGAAGGAAGAAGGCUUUCGGGUUGUAAACUUCUUUUCUCAGGGACGAAGCAAGUGACGGUACCUGAGGAAUAAGCCACGGCUAACUACGUGCCAGCAGCCGCGGUAAUACGUAGGUGGCAAGCGUUAUCCGGAUUUACUGGGUGUAAAGGGCGUGUAGGCGGGAAUGCAAGGCAGAUGUGAAAACCACGGG